GUCCUCUUUCGUUUUGGGUGAACAAGCGGAAGGGAUCAUUACCGAGUUUACAACUCCCAAACCCCUGUGAACAUACCACUUGUUGCCUCGGCGGAUCAGCCCGCUCCCGGUAAAACGGGACGGCCCGCCAGAGGACCCCUAAACUCUGUUUCUAUAUGUAACUUCUGAGUAAAACCAUAAAUAAAUCAAAACUUUCAACAACGGAUCUCUUGGUUCUGGCAUCGAUGAAGAACGCAGCAAAAUGCGAUAAGUAAUGUGAAUUGCAGAAUUCAGUGAAUCAUCGAAUCUUUGAACGCACAUUGCGCCCGCCAGUAUUCUGGCGGGCAUGCCUGUUCGAGCGUCAUUUCAACCCUCAAGCACAGCUUGGUGUUGGGACUCGCGUUAAUUCGCGUUCCUCAAAUUGAUUGGCGGUCACGUCGAGCUUCCAUAGCGUAGUAGUAAAACCCUCGUUACUGGUAAUCGUCGCGGCCACGCCGUUAAACCCCAACUUCUGAAUGUUGACCUCGGAUCAGGUAGGAAUACCCGCUGAACUUAAGCAUAUCAUAAGGGGGGGAGAGAA
Molecule: ribosomal RNA, 559 nt
Filed under: Fusarium sp.
Lineage: Eukaryota; Fungi; Ascomycota; Sordariomycetes; Hypocreales; Nectriaceae
Description: eukaryotic LSU rRNA
Rfam family: 5.8S ribosomal RNA (bases 190-343)
Source: RNAcentral